GCGACCGUGGCGGAAUUCGGUAGACGCGCCGGAUUCAAAAUCCGGUGGGCUUACACCCGUGAGAGUUCGAGUCUCUCCGGUCGCA
RNAcentral lists this transfer RNA (85 nucleotides) under Planctomycetota bacterium. RNAcentral describes it as "Planctomycetes bacterium tRNA-Leu". It matches the Rfam family "tRNA". Rfam says of the family: Transfer RNA (tRNA) molecules are approximately 80 nucleotides in length. Their secondary structure includes four short double-helical elements and three loops (D, anti-codon, and T loops). The record is from RNAcentral. Lineage: Bacteria; Pseudomonadati; Planctomycetota.